This is a non-coding RNA of Sturnus vulgaris (Common starling), 104 nucleotides long. The record is from RefSeq and is a predicted model, not a curated record. NCBI's taxonomy places the organism in Eukaryota, Metazoa, Chordata, Aves, Passeriformes, Sturnidae.
CCAAACUCUCUCUCACUCUCCCCUCUGCAACUGGACAGGGGAGAGAAAAUAUAAUGAAGGGUUCAGGAGUUGAGAUAAGGAGCUGGGAGAGAUCAUUGUGGAUU